RNAcentral lists this ribosomal RNA (354 nucleotides) under bacterium LimA-1-A-272. Its description in RNAcentral is "bacterial SSU rRNA". It matches the Rfam family "Bacterial small subunit ribosomal RNA", at positions 289 to 634 of the family's 1533-position model. RNAcentral also lists the same sequence under 2 other names. The record is from RNAcentral.
GGUCUGAGAGGAUGAUCCGCCACACUGGGACUGAGACACGGCCCAGACUCCUACGGGAGGCAGCAGUGGGGAAUAUUGGACAAUGGGCGCAAGCCUGAUCCAGCCAUGCCGCGUGUGUGAAGAAGGCCUUAUGGUUGUAAAGCACUUUAAGCGAGGAGGAGGCUACUUUAGUUAAUACCUAGAGAUAGUGGACGUUACUCGCAGAAUAAGCACCGGCUAACUCUGUGCCAGCAGCCGCGGUAAUACAGAGGGUGCAAGCGUUAAUCGGAUUUACUGGGCGUAAAGCGCGCGUAGGCGGCUAAUUAAGUCAAAUGUGAAAUCCCCGAGCUUAACUUGGGAAUUGCAUUCGAUACU